This 68-nucleotide transfer RNA is filed under the name Porichthys myriaster (specklefin midshipman). RNAcentral's name for it is "tRNA-Asp". Lineage: Eukaryota; Metazoa; Chordata; Actinopteri; Batrachoidiformes; Batrachoididae. The record is from RNAcentral.
AGAGCCCUAGUAAAUCAUUAUAUCGUUUUGUCAUGACGAAGUAGUAAGUUUAAAUCUUACGAGUUCUA